This 802-nucleotide ribosomal RNA is filed under the name Flavobacterium sp. B214. RNAcentral describes it as "bacterial SSU rRNA". It matches the Rfam family "Bacterial small subunit ribosomal RNA", at positions 56 to 865 of the family's 1533-position model. Lineage: Bacteria; Pseudomonadati; Bacteroidota; Flavobacteriia; Flavobacteriales; Flavobacteriaceae. The record is from RNAcentral.
UGCAGUCGAGGGGUAUAUGUCUUCGGAUAUAGAGACCGGCGCACGGGUGCGUAACGCGUAUGCAAUCUACCUUUUACAGAGGGAUAGCCCAGAGAAAUUUGGAUUAAUACCUCAUAGCAUAGCAGCUUCGCAUGAAGCAGCUAUUAAAGUCACAACGGUAAAAGAUGAGCAUGCGUCCCAUUAGCUAGUUGGUAAGGUAACGGCUUACCAAGGCUACGAUGGGUAGGGGUCCUGAGAGGGAGAUCCCCCACACUGGUACUGAGACACGGACCAGACUCCUACGGGAGGCAGCAGUGAGGAAUAUUGGACAAUGGGCGCAAGCCUGAUCCAGCCAUGCCGCGUGCAGGAUGACGGUCCUAUGGAUUGUAAACUGCUUUUGUACGAGAAGAAACACUCCUUCGUGAAGGAGCUUGACGGUAUCGUAAGAAUAAGGAUCGGCUAACUCCGUGCCAGCAGCCGCGGUAAUACGGAGGAUCCAAGCGUUAUCCGGAAUCAUUGGGUUUAAAGGGUCCGUAGGCGGUUUAGUAAGUCAGUGGUGAAAGCCCAUCGCUCAACGGUGGAACGGCCAUUGAUACUGCUAAACUUGAAUUAUUAGGAAGUAACUAGAAUAUGUAGUGUAGCGGUGAAAUGCUUAGAGAUUACAUGGAAUACCAAUUGCGAAGGCAGGUUACUACUAAUGGAUUGACGCUGAUGGACGAAAGCGUGGGUAGCGAACAGGAUUAGAUACCCUGGUAGUCCACGCCGUAAACGAUGGAUACUAGCUGUUGGAAGCAAUUUCAGUGGCUAAGCGAAAGUGAUAAGU